Long non-coding RNA from Alligator sinensis (Chinese alligator), 316 nucleotides. RefSeq lists it as uncharacterized. The record is from RefSeq and is a predicted model, not a curated record. The transcript is spliced from 3 exons. NCBI's taxonomy places the organism in Eukaryota, Metazoa, Chordata, Crocodylia, Alligatoridae.
GGUGGCGUAUGCCAGCCGCAAGCUGUCAUCAGCGGAGAGGAGGUGCAACAACUGGGAUUCAGGCGAACGUAUAGAGCAACGAACUGAGAGACCCGACAACCCACCAGAGCUGGAACAGCCAGAAGAGGAGUGCACGGCAAAAACACUGGUGCAGAUGAUCAGCCAUGCAUAUAUACGGCUGCGGCAGAGCAGCAGGGGCAGAGGACACUCCCUGGAAGGUAUAAAAAACAGCCACGGCGGGGCGGCUGAUGCGAGGAGGCUGGAGGAGCGAGGCCUCAUGCAGAGGGAAUCAGCCACCGCACCCAGCAGCGGGGAA